This is a long non-coding RNA of Dipodomys spectabilis (banner-tailed kangaroo rat), 109 nucleotides long. RefSeq lists it as uncharacterized. The transcript has 3 exons. NCBI's taxonomy places the organism in Eukaryota, Metazoa, Chordata, Mammalia, Rodentia, Heteromyidae. The record is from RefSeq and is a predicted model, not a curated record.
UUUUGCUGCCAGCCCUAGGACUUUGAACUUCAGGGUCUGGGUGCUGUCCCUGGGCUUUUUUGCCCAAGGCUAGCGCUCUACCACUUGAGCCACAGCACCACUUCCGGCU